Molecule: ribosomal RNA, 258 nt
Filed under: uncultured bacterium
Lineage: Bacteria
Description: partial 16S ribosomal RNA
Rfam family: Bacterial small subunit ribosomal RNA
Source: RNAcentral
UACGGAGGGGGCUAGUGUUACUCAUAUUGAUUGGGCGUAAAGGGUAUGUAGGCUGUUUUUUAGUUAGAGCGAAAAUCCUAUGAUUGCCAUUAUAGAAGUGUUCUAAAACAAAUUAACUUAGAGUUUAAAAAGGAUAACAGUACUUCUAGUCUAGGGGUAAAAUCUGCUGCGGAUUAGAGGGACUAUCGCGGGCGAAGGCGGUUAUCUAGUUUAAUACUGACGCUGAGGUACGAAGGUGUGGGUAGUCAAUGGGAUUAG